UUGGCAGAACAAACAGUUGCUUCAGAAAAUCCUGCACAAGGUUUCUCCGAGCCACCCGAGCCAUUUCUUAGGCCGAUUGUUGAAAUGACUGUCUCUCGUCCAUUUCGAGAGAGGUCAUUUAUGCACAAUGUCCGCGCGGCUUAUGCAAAUCGGUGUGCGAUCACUGGUCUGCGAUUGAUAAACGGAGGCGGUCGGCCUGAAGUUCAGGCUGCUCACAUCCAGCCUGUCGCAUCAAAUGGACCAGACU
Molecule: unclassified non-coding RNA, 247 nt
Filed under: Hevea brasiliensis (rubber tree)
Lineage: Eukaryota; Viridiplantae; Streptophyta; Magnoliopsida; Malpighiales; Euphorbiaceae
Source: RNAcentral